GCGAACGCUGGCGGCAGGCCUAACACAUGCAAGUCGAACGAACUCUUCGGAGUUAGUGGCGGACGGGUGAGUAACACGUGGGAACGUGCCUUUUGGUUCGGAAUAACUCAGGGCAACUUGUGCUAAUACCGAAUGUGCCCUUCGGGGGAAAGAUUUAUCGCCAUUAGAGCGGCCCGCGUCUGAUUAGCUAGUUGGUGAGGUAACGGCUCACCAAGGCGACGAUCAGUAGCUGGUCUGAGAGGAUGACCAGCCACACUGGGACUGAGACACGGCCCAGACUCCUACGGGAGGCAGCAGUGGGGAAUCUUGCGCAAUGGGCGAAAGCCUGACGCAGCCAUGCCGCGUGAAUGAUGAAGGUCUUAGGAUUGUAAAAUUCUUUCACCGGGGACGAUAAUGACGGUACCCGGAGAAGAAGCCCCGGCUAACUUCGUG
This 432-nucleotide ribosomal RNA is filed under the name uncultured bacterium. RNAcentral describes it as "partial 16S ribosomal RNA". It matches the Rfam family "Bacterial small subunit ribosomal RNA", at positions 29 to 507 of the family's 1533-position model. The record is from RNAcentral.